GAGCAUUUCCAGCAAAAGUGUGAAACGGUUUUGCGUUGGAAAAUGCGAUAAAAUAAAUAGUUAGAGCGGUUCCAACGAUUCCGUUUUAAUCGGAACCGCUCUAGGACAUAUGUGAGAUCGAACGGCC
RNAcentral lists this unclassified non-coding RNA (127 nucleotides) under Brucella sp. 191011898. Its description in RNAcentral is "BASRCI153". Lineage: Bacteria; Pseudomonadati; Pseudomonadota; Alphaproteobacteria; Hyphomicrobiales; Brucellaceae. The record is from RNAcentral.